ACUAGCUUGAAACGACGUCGUCCCCAGCUGAAGUGGAAAUGGCGCCGUAAGGCGGUAGAUAUUUAACGGUGCUGUCGAGCUGAAAACGGUAAAAGGGGGAAGAUUCUCUGGGGGGAGUGGUGAAACGCGAGGAAUAAUCGGGUUAUCAAGGACAAUAAACGGUGAUCGGAAUAAUAAGGCCGGUGUCAUGUCGGAAAAGGGAGUCCCAGUGACGGAUAAUAUGGAGAUUGAAAAAGAUGAUCGGGAAUUUGGGGGAGACAACUCCUUGGAGCUUCAGCAGCAAUCCCCUAAAAAAGGAGGACCGCCGAAGAAGCGUAGUGAUCCGGCCGAGAAGGACGCGGGUUUCGAGGAAAAUUCGGAGUCCGGAAAAGAGAAUAGUGAAGAAAUUGGAGCUGUAGCUGUAGCAGCAGAGGAGAAAAUGUCCGGUAUGAGUCACCAGAAAAUAAAACAAAUUCCAGUGGAUGGCGGUGAAGAGGGAAUUGGAAUGGGGGCUGAAAUUGAAGGGGAAAACGGGGGUUCAGUGAAUAAGAAGAAUAAGUCCGGUGAAUUUAUACCAGAUGAAAAUGGUGAAGCGGGAGCAGGAAUAAAGGUUGAGAAAGAAGUGGAAAGUGGGGAUUCAGUGAAGAAGAAUAAGCUCUGUAAUGCUAAAACACAGGAAAAUGACAGUCAAGGUCAUGAUCGGGAAGAGGAGCUAAUGAAUACGGAGAAUGAGGAAGAAUUGGGUGGAAAUCAACAAGAGGAUGAGGGUUCUGCAGAGCUAAUGAACAUUGAAAAGGGAAAGGCCGCAGGUGGUGAAGAAGAGGAGGAGAAUGAAGGUUGCAAAUCUCAUGCAAGGGCAUUUCCAAGGAGGCAGUCAAGUCAGAAGGCGAUUGAGAAGAUUGGGGAACUCAAGGAACAAAUGAUGGAGUGGGAUGAAGCAGACAAAGAGGUCAGUAGGAAUAGGGGUAGGAAGAAGAAGAUAUUGGACAAUGAGGGCCAUGCUGAAGACAAAAGGAGGAAGCGAGGGAAAAGGGGUAAAGAUGAAGAAAGAAGAGGAGAAGAAGAUGGCGAAGAAGAGAAAGUAAAGGAAAUUACAGAGAGUUCACGGACACUUAGACCUAGGAAAGUUAAGGAUGAGGGUGACUAUUCUGUGCCAAGGAUCAGAAACAGGAGGGAUGAGAAUGGUAAUAAAGUUGAAUCAAACAUGUGCCACCAAUGCCAAAGGAAUGAUAAAGGACCUGUUGUGCGCUGCACCAGCUGUAAGACGAAGAGAUAUUGUGGGACUUGCAUGAGAACAUGGUAUCCUGGUAUGCCAGAGGAGGCCUUUGCAGAAAAGUGUCCUGUUUGUCUCGAGAACUGCAAUUGCAAAGCGUGUCUCCGAUUAGAUGGUCCUAUAAGGAAACUGAAGAAACUAAAAUUUGAAGUCAGCAAUGAGGAGAAGAUACAGUACUCUAAAUAUAUCUUGCAAGUGCUUCUACCUCUGUUGAGGCGAUUCAGUGCAGAGCAAAUGAUGGAGAAGGAGAUUGAAACCAAGAUUCAAGGGGUAAGACUUUCCGAGUUAAAGCUACAGAAAGCAAAGUGCCAGCUGAAUGAGAGGGUGUAUUGUGACAACUGCAGAACAUCAAUUUUUGAUUUUCACAGAAGCUGUUCAAACUGUUCCUAUGACCUUUGCCUUACUUGUUGCCAAGAGCUCAGGGAUGGCCAUCUGCGGGGCAAUGUAGAAGAAAUUGUCAUGGAAUAUAUUGACCGUGGGCUGGAUUACUUGCAUGGUAAAGCGAGUGAAAGUACUACUAUGGAAACAAACACCAAGGAAUUUGUUGAAACAAACUCCCUUGAAGAUUCUAAGUCAGCAUCUGAAGUGAAAUCCACCUCUCCAACAAAAAGCCUUGAAUCCCUUGUUGGCUGCUGUCAUGAAUGGAGAUCUGAAGAAAAUGGUAGAAUUUUUUGCCCACCAGAGAAUAUGCGUGGUUGUAAUAAGGGAACUUUAGAAUUAAAGCAUCUUUUGGGGGAGUGUUAUGUCACUGAGCUGUUAGCCAAAGCGGAAGAAAUAGCAAAGUCAUGCAAAUUAAAUGAUAUGCCUGAAAGUUCUCAGCGGUUGUGCUCUUGUUCAAAAUCAGUAGAUGAAAAUGCUAUUGAUAAAAAUAAGUUACGGAAAGCAGCUACUAGGGAGGAUUCUAAUGACAAUUAUCUGUACUGCCCAGCCGCUAAAGACAUUCAACACAAGGAUCUGAAACAUUUUCGAUGGCAUUGGCUUGAGGGUGAGCCUGUUAUUGUCAGUAAUGUGCUGGAAACUACUUCAGGAUUGAGCUGGGAACCCAUGGUUAUGUGGCGUGCUUUUCGUCAGAUAAAACAUCUAAACCAUUCACGUCAUUUAGAUGUGAAUGCUCUUAACUGCUUGGACUGGUGUGAGGUUGAAGUCAAUAUCCACAAGUUUUUUGAAUGGUAUAAGAAUGGUACAACUGAUAUUUAUGGAUGGCCUCUUAUUCUCAAGUUGAAAGACUGGCCUCCAUCAGAUUUAUUUGAGGAGCGAUUACCUCGUCAUGGUGCUGAGUUUAAAAACAGCCUGCCUUUCAAGGCAUAUACAGAUCCUCAAAAUGGCUACCUAAAUCUUGCUACUAAGUUGCCAGAGAAGUCCUUAAAACCAGAUAUGGGUCCCAAAACAUAUAUAGCUUAUGGUGUUCCACUGGAGCUGGGGCGUGGAGACUCUGUAACUAAGCUGCACUGCGAUAUGUCUGAUGCGGUGAAUGUCUUGACACAUACUCAAGGUAUAAACCUAGAAUCCAAGCAACUUUCAAAGAUUGAAGAAUUGAAGGGGUAUCAUGCUGUCCAGGACAAGAAGGAACAGCAGAUGAUUCAUAAGCUGGACAAAUGUGAGGAUGGACUUCAUGAAUUGAAUGAGGAAUAUUCUCAACAAGAUUCUUUGGUGAACCCAAAUUCUGUUGAUCAAGGGGAUGAGAAAUCUUCCACUUCUUUUAUGCUAGAGAGUAAUGAUAUGUGCAUGGGAAUAUUGGGUACAGAGAAUGUGAGUAGGUCUUCUGAAACAGGGGCAAGUAGUCAGGAGAAUGAAAAUGAAAGUCACAAUUUUAAUGGGUCUCAGUUAUUCUCUGAUGUGUUUGAAGAAACUGGUGGUGCUCUCUGGGACAUCUUUAGGAGGGAAGAUAUCCCUAAGUUGGAAGAAUAUCUCAAGAAGCACUUUAAGGAGUUUAGGCAUACUUAUUGCUCCCCAGUACCAAAGGUUGUUCAUCCUAUUCAUGACCAAACAUUUUACUUGACUGUGGAGCAUAAAAGGAGGCUCAAGGAAGAAUAUGGAAUUGAACCAUGGACCUUUGUUCAAAAGUUGGGGGAUGCUGUCUUUAUUCCAGCAGGCUGUCCUCAUCAAGUCAGAAACUUGAAGUCAUGUAUAAAAGUUGCUCUUGACUUUGUUUCUCCUGAAAAUGUUCCUGAGUGUGUGCGGUUGACUGAAGAAUUCCGAACUCUUCCCCAAAAUCACAGGGCCAAGGAAGAUAAACUGGAGGUGAAGAAAAUGGUCAUUUAUGCGGUGCAUGAAGCUGUGGAGGAUUUGGAGAAGUUAAAUUCUGUUGUAUCAGUUUCACUUAGGUCCUUGGAUAAAUAGCAGUGGAAGUGUUUUAUGCUCUGUCCUGUUAUAUAAGAUUGAUUAUUGUCUGUACUGAUUGAAAGGAGAGAAGAGAGAUUGUCUGAAUGACACUGGAGGGAAUGUAUGUGACUGCCCAACUUAUCUGCAGUAGAACAUGUGCUCAUAUUUACUUGGCCUCUGGAAGAUGUUUGUUGUCUGUAAUGAUACCAUAACAGCAAAUGAUCCUUGUUCCUAUGCUUAUCAUAUGGUAAAACUCUACCCAAUGGUUGUGGCUGUUGAUAAAGUUGCCAGAUUUUGAUUGAGAAAGGGUGGAGAAUGUGGAAAGUAGCUGUUGCUUCUCAUCAAUUCAUGGCUUAUUCACUGUUCUAACUUCUAACAACAGCUCCAACAGUUGAUCCAACUCCUGUUGGUUAUUCAUAGUCAUAGAUAUAGAUUGAUAUUAUUAUGUUAAACACAUUUUAUAAGUGUUUAGAUUAUAUGACUUUAUACUUUGGCUCCUCCCAACUCGGGUUACAGACUUACAGGUCUCUUAUGAAUUUUCAUUUCUGAUUGGUGAUUGAUGCAAUAGGAGUUGUUUGGUCUAAUUUUUA
RNA transcript from Ipomoea triloba (trilobed morning glory), 4164 nucleotides. It is a transcript of the gene named lysine-specific demethylase JMJ25-like, with no coding region annotated. The record is from RefSeq and is a predicted model, not a curated record. NCBI's taxonomy places the organism in Eukaryota, Viridiplantae, Streptophyta, Magnoliopsida, Solanales, Convolvulaceae. The transcript is spliced from 14 exons.